AACGCACAUUGCGCCCGCUAGUAUUCUGGCGGGCAUGCCUGUCUGAGCGUCAUUUCAACCCUCGCGCCCGGCUUUGCUGUCGGAUGCGGUGUUGGGGAUCGGCCCGUAGCCGCCUAGCGGUUUGGGCCGUCCCUGAAAUACAGUGGCGAUCGCGUCGUAACCUCCUCUGCGUAGUAACUCCUUACAGGGCCUCGCAGGCGGAGAGCGGUGCGGUCACGCCGUAAAACCCCCCCAAACUUUUACAAGGUUGACCUCAGAUCAGGUAGGAAUACCCGCUGAACUUAA
This 285-nucleotide unclassified non-coding RNA is filed under the name uncultured Hypocreales. Its description in RNAcentral is "sequence contains 5.8S rRNA gene, ITS2, 28S rRNA gene". The stretch from base 1 to 52 matches the Rfam family "5.8S ribosomal RNA", at positions 103 to 154 of the family's 154-position model. The record is from RNAcentral. Lineage: Eukaryota; Fungi; Ascomycota; Sordariomycetes; Hypocreales.